RNAcentral lists this ribosomal RNA (253 nucleotides) under uncultured bacterium. Its description in RNAcentral is "partial 16S ribosomal RNA". It matches the Rfam family "Bacterial small subunit ribosomal RNA", at positions 524 to 776 of the family's 1533-position model. The record is from RNAcentral.
UACGUAGGGGGCAAGCGUUGUCCGGAUUUAUUGGGCGUAAAGAGCGUGUAGGCGGCCAGGUAGGUCUGCUGUGAAAACUCGAGGCUUAACCUCGAGAUGUCGGCGGAAACCAUCUGGCUAGAGUCCGGAAGAGGAGAGUGGAAUUCCUGGUGUAGCGGUGAAAUGCGCAGAUAUCGGGAAGAACACCCGUGGCGAAGGCGGUUCUCUGGGACGGUACUGACGCUGAGACGCGAAAGCGUGGGGAGCGAACAGG